Molecule: ribosomal RNA, 403 nt
Filed under: uncultured eukaryote
Lineage: Eukaryota
Description: SSU rRNA
Rfam family: Eukaryotic small subunit ribosomal RNA
Source: RNAcentral
AGCUCCAAUAGCGUAUAUUUAAGUUGCUGCAGUUAAAAAGCUCGUAGUCGGACUUCGGGUAGGUCCCUUCGGUCUAGCCUGGUGUUAUGCACUGUCGGUAUCUACCCCUCCUGCCAUACAAGGUUGUGGCGUACGCGUUCAGCGUGUGCACGCUUUGUGUGGUCCCGUUACUGUGAGUAAAUUAGGGUGUUCAAGGCAGGCGUACGCCGUGAAUACACUAGCAUGGAAUAACAUGAUAGGACCUUGGCCUCUCUGGUUGGUCUGAAAGGCUAGGGUAACGAUUAAGAGGGACAGUCGGGGGCAUUCGUAUUUCAUUGUCAGAGGUGAAAUUCUUGGAUCUAUGAAAGACGAACACCUGCGAAAGCGUUUGCCAAGGAUGUUUUCAUUGAUCAAGAACGAAAGU